RNAcentral lists this ribosomal RNA (268 nucleotides) under uncultured bacterium. RNAcentral describes it as "partial 16S ribosomal RNA". It matches the Rfam family "Bacterial small subunit ribosomal RNA", at positions 793 to 1055 of the family's 1533-position model. The record is from RNAcentral.
GUCCACGCCCUAAACUAUGGAUACUCGACAUACGCGAUACACAGUGUGUGUCUGAGCGAAAGCAUUAAGUAUCCCCACCUGGGGAAGUACGAUCGCAAGAUUGAAACUCAAAAGGAAUUGGGCGGGGGUCCGCACAAGCGGUGGAGCAUGUUGGUUUAAUUCGAUGAUACGCGAGGAACCUUACCUGGGCUAGAAUGCAGAAUGACCGUGGGUUGAAAGCUCAUUUUUGUAGCAAUACACAUUUUGUAAGGUGCUGCAUGGCUGUCGU